Molecule: microRNA precursor, 96 nt
Filed under: Pteropus vampyrus (large flying fox)
Lineage: Eukaryota; Metazoa; Chordata; Mammalia; Chiroptera; Pteropodidae
Description: miRNA (ENSPVAG00000024844.1)
Source: RNAcentral
GCUAUGGGGAUCUGGCACUGUGGUUCCUGCAUGAAAAUAGUAGCUUGUGGUGCCUGGACCUACAACGCCACUUCUGCUGUCACAGUAAAGUCUGCC